UGGAGGCUGAAACCCGCCUCCAUGAAGUUGGAUUCGCUAGUAAUCGCGCAACAGCCAUGGCGCGGUGAAUACGUUCCCGGGCCUUGUACACACCGCCCGUCAAGCCAUGGGAGCCCGGGGGGUGCCUGAAGUUCGUGACCGCAAGGAGCGACCUAGGGCAAAACUGGUGACUGGGGCUAAGUCGUAACAAGGUAUC
RNAcentral lists this ribosomal RNA (196 nucleotides) under uncultured bacterium. RNAcentral's name for it is "partial 16S ribosomal RNA". It matches the Rfam family "Bacterial small subunit ribosomal RNA", at positions 1299 to 1500 of the family's 1533-position model. The record is from RNAcentral.